This is a long non-coding RNA of Melospiza georgiana, 1014 nucleotides long. RefSeq lists it as uncharacterized. Lineage: Eukaryota; Metazoa; Chordata; Aves; Passeriformes; Passerellidae. The record is from RefSeq and is a predicted model, not a curated record. The transcript has 3 exons.
GUACAGGGGCGGCGGCUCCAGCGGCGUGUUGUCACUCAGAAGGACGCGGGGAGAAUUGUAGCGUCUCUGCUGCCUCAAGAGAUCUAAAACUUGUUUUUUAAAAUGUCUGCCUGAAUGAGUUUAAUAAUAAGAGAAUUUAUCGAAUCUUCUGGGAAACUCCUUUGAUCCAUGUUGGAAGACUGGAUGCCACGAAGGUGAAAAUCUUUCUGCAAAAGAGAGGAGCUGACCUGCCUGAGGUGCACAGGAGGCCUGUGGUGUGACAGGGCUGGACUGGAAGAAGUCAAUGCAAGCAGAGGCCAGAGAAGCUUCUAGGUUUGGACCUGCUGGUUCCUGCAGCAGCACACUUCAUUGAGUAGUACCAAAAAUUAAUUUUGUUUUGUGUUGUGAUUUGCAGUUAGGUUCUUUGGUUUCCUAAAAAAUAAAAUUGCAGCCAAAGCUUCCGCAGCAGUUUGGAUGUUCUUAAAUUUUUAUUUGUGUGGAUUGCCUGAUACUGAUAGCUCCAGGAUUCUCUCCUGUGGAAACCCAGGGCACCGGGAAUAUUUAUCUGUCUGCUCUGAGGUGCCAUGACCCCCAGGGGAGCACUAACUUUGACCCUCAUUCAUGAGGAAAGUUUCCUAGACUUCAAGACAGACUAGAAUCCACAAAAGUGUGAAAUAGAUUAUAGAAAAGAUUAUAGUGUAGGUGUAUCACUUGGUGAGAAAUUUAGGUUUUGGGAUUUUCAAUAUGUUGCGGAUGGAAGCAAGAUGGAGGGCACAGGGUGUCAUUCUGGGUUUCUUCUUCAUGCUUCUUCCUUCUUCUUCAUGGGUUUGGGUGGCAUUUUGUAAUUGGGAAGAAAAGUCCACAUUGCGGGCUCUUUGGGAUCAGUUAUUGGGUUAAAAGGGAAAAUAAUCUGGGUGUCAGUUCUUAAUUAGAUAGCUUAGUUUUAAAAGACCUUGUAACAAGAGAUUGUUAGCCAUUUUGUGCCUUCUAAUGAAAAGCUGCCGAACUCACAGUGAUGAGACUGUUCUACUAAUA